This 255-nucleotide long non-coding RNA is filed under the name Phoenix dactylifera (date palm). RNAcentral describes it as "long non-coding RNA (PDAC_LNC008865)". The record is from RNAcentral. Lineage: Eukaryota; Viridiplantae; Streptophyta; Magnoliopsida; Arecales; Arecaceae.
UAUGUAAGUGCAUACCCUACUCCUACAGUGAACCUACUGCAGCCAAUCUACACAACAAGGAUCCAUAUGACUAGAGACCAUGUAUAUGUGCAGUCAAACUACAAUAAUCUCACUGUGAAUAGCCGAAGCACCGCAGGUCAAAGGACCAGUCACACUACUACAACAUCAAGCAAGUCAUUGACGAGUGGAUAGACAUCCAAGUGACUUCUUAUCUUGGUCACGCUCAGUACCCUUGUUCUCUAACAAGCACCUGCA